UUUUUAGAGAUCAAAUCAAGAAAAUUAAAUGCUACCUCGAUGUUGAAUUAAGAAGAGAUCUAAUAGAAAAAAAUUAGAUUAUAGGUCUGUUCGACCUUUAAAUUCUUACAUGAUUUGAGUUAAGACCGGUGUAAGCCAGGUUGGUUUCUAUCUUCAUAAUAGAAGUUUUUAUAGUACGAAAGGACCUAAAAACUUAAUUUUAUUAAUUAAUUAGCUUAUAUAAAGCAAGUAUUUUGAAAAUACUAGAAAGAUUUAAAAAUUUAUUAAUUUUAUGU
This 275-nucleotide unclassified non-coding RNA is filed under the name Frankliniella occidentalis (western flower thrips). RNAcentral describes it as "partial contains large subunit ribosomal RNA (rrnL); may also contain tRNA-Leu (trnL)". The stretch from base 1 to 155 matches the Rfam family "Bacterial large subunit ribosomal RNA", at positions 2490 to 2645 of the family's 2925-position model. The record is from RNAcentral. Lineage: Eukaryota; Metazoa; Arthropoda; Insecta; Thysanoptera; Thripidae.